Molecule: long non-coding RNA, 2238 nt
Organism: Cucumis melo (muskmelon)
Lineage: Eukaryota; Viridiplantae; Streptophyta; Magnoliopsida; Cucurbitales; Cucurbitaceae
Exons: 3
Source: RefSeq, a predicted model, not a curated record
UAAAAACAAAACCUUCCAUCUUGAUGCCGAGUCCGACUGAGAUGAAGUGAGAAAUUAUGUUAGAAACCACCUUUUAAACCUUUGUACAGAUUUUAGGUGUCGAAGUUGGCCGAGAAAACAAUUUACGUGGUUUUGUAGGAGUGUGUUAUUCUUAAAGCCUAAAACCAAAAGUGUAUUAAUUUAGCCAAUUUUCCAAAAAUUCUGUCCAAUCUUCAGGAACCUCCACCGUAGCAAGACCCACGACUGGCCACGUGUCUCUCCAUCGUCUGGAACUUCGACGUUGCAAGACCCACGCCCGGUCAUGCCUCUCUCCAUUGUCUGGAACCUCGCCUUGUAUCCGAUUUCCCCCUCUUUUCUUCUAUUCUCCAAGACCCGUAGCAUAACCAUUUGGAUUUAGUAGUAAGCGAAGGUUUGUUCUUUUCCCGAUUUCUUCUUCACACUUCCUUUUUCAUUCACUUAUUUCAAUUCAUCCUUUCAUUUUUUAUGAUUUAGCUUUUCCAAUUUCUUGCAUUUAUCCUUGUAGCCCCAAGUAGCUUUACAUAUUUAAUUAGAUUAACUUUUUUAAAAUAUCAAAGAUUUGUUGGUGAUGGGUUUAUGCUUCAACGGGGUUUUCUCUCAUUAAAUUUGUUCAUAUAAUUCUUUAAAGUCUCCUAUUUUCUUGUUCCUUUUGUCAUUUAUGCAAUAUUGAGUAAUGAGAUCGUUUUUAUUUGCUUGAAUAUUGGUGUUUAUCAGAGUUUGGGUAAGAUGGAAAAGUCGUCUCUACAUGCAUUUCUCUUCCCUUUUUAUGUAUUUGUUUUUGAGUGAGAAUAUGUAGAACUUCGAACCACACUUCAAAAAUCAAACUGGUUGUGAGACUGAAUCAGAAAGAGGGUUUGUUUUUUCUUUGUGAUUCUAUAAUUUUUUUCAUGGAUUGAUUAUAAGUUGCUUUUGGUGGCUGCUUUACUUUGGCUUUGGAGCUCCACAAGGUAUAUCUUUUCUUCUUUUCGAUUUGCAUCCCUUUCUCCUUUAAUCGGUUGUUUUCGUCAAAUAUAGUGUAAGAGAUAGACCUAUUACCAUUUUGUUUGAGAAUUGGAGGACUUUACCACGGGAACUAGGUGGAAUGCGGUCAUGAGGAACUCCAAAAGAUUCGUCAGGAAUUUGACGCUGCUAAACUUAGCUUACUCAAGAUUUCUGAGGUGCUCAGGGCAGUUCUGAAGUUGAACCUGAAGAAUGAUUUGUGCUUUAUAGACUUUAACAUUUCAAAAAAUGGAGACAAUGGAUCUUGCUACAUCUGCUGCACCAUUGAAAUUAAGCCAAUGUGAGUUCUUAAGUUGUUGAAGACUCACUUAGAGGAAAAGUUUUGAUGUUCCGUUUUGCAAUUUAUUAGGGAGUAACUAAUUAUUGAAAACCACACAUCUUAAGUUGUUAGGUUUGUUGACAUCUCAUACUACAUUUUUGUCAGUAAUGUUGGAAUUUUUUACAAUAAUGUUAGAGUUUGUACUAAUUAUUUAAGCUUCAUGUAUAGUUUUUCUCUUUGCUUUAAGUUUUGGGCUCUAAACUUUUGUUAAUGGUGAUUGUCAUUUUCGUUCAUUGCAAUUUUUGUGUCCACUUGUGUUGCGAUCUAUUAGUUUAUCAAUCUUCUUGCGUUCUUUGACAUCUUCACCCCUCCUGUCUUUUUCAUCUUUGACACUUUGUUGAUUUCUAUUUAGAGAUGGGGGAGAGAGUUUUUCUUGUUUCCUUGGACUCAUCUUUUAAUUGUUCUUUGGAACAUAAGCAAAAGAAGGGGAUGCAACAAUUUAUUUUGUUUAGUAGUGAAAUUUUAGAAAACGAGGAUUUUGGUUACACUUUUUUGUCUUUCACCGGUAUUGAUUUUCAUUAGACAAGAUUAUCUAUUCUCUCGUUUUUGCCAAGUAUUUGAGUGAUUAUGUAGUUUCAGGGGAAAUGGUUUUGAUAUAUCGUUUGCAGAAGCAAGGUUUGGGUUAUUAGAGCUCUAGCUUCUAUGGUGGUAUUGUUGGAGGAGUUUAAGCUGGGAAAACGUUCUUGGUCGAUAAAAGAAUGACUUUCCAACCAAGAAAUUUCAUCGCCACGACGUAACAAAGCUUGAGUUAUUUAAGAUCUUCAAAACAAAUUUUGUAACCAAUGGAUGAUAAGUUGGAUCAACCUUAUGUUUAAGUUGAUGAUACUAUAUCUCUUUUUAUGGGGGCAAUAUGAAUCUUUUGUAAAUACUUAUUCACAUGAAUGUACAUUUUGUUUCGAAUA